This is a long non-coding RNA of Oryzias melastigma (Indian medaka), 392 nucleotides long. RefSeq lists it as uncharacterized. Lineage: Eukaryota; Metazoa; Chordata; Actinopteri; Beloniformes; Adrianichthyidae. The transcript has 2 exons. The record is from RefSeq and is a predicted model, not a curated record.
AUUUCUUCACAGGUCAGAGUUCAACAAACUGGGUAUUUUUAUGAUGCCUAUGAUCCCAAAAGCAUCUCAUGAAGCUGAAGACUAAAUAUGAGUCCAGUGAAGAGUUCAGAGGAAGCUGAGAGAGCAUUAGGAGUCAAGACCACAAUGAGAUCACUUUUACCAAAACACUCCAAAGACUGAAGCAAAGCAAGACAGAAAAGAGUGGUGCUGCUGGCUGCCUCCUAAAGUUACAGCCUCUUAUAUAACCAUGCAUGAACACAGAAAAGUUUUCAGCUGUGUCUUUGUUUGGUGUUUGUGUUGAUGUUGCCAUGGUGAUACUCGCUUGAAACAAAAACAGAUGACGAAAAAUAAAAAGACAAGCGCAGAUUGUAAGACACAUCUGUAAACAUUCA